This is a long non-coding RNA of Portunus trituberculatus (swimming crab), 260 nucleotides long. RefSeq lists it as uncharacterized. NCBI's taxonomy places the organism in Eukaryota, Metazoa, Arthropoda, Malacostraca, Decapoda, Portunidae. The transcript is spliced from 2 exons. The record is from RefSeq and is a predicted model, not a curated record.
GAGAGAGAGAGAGAGAGAGAGAGAGAGAGAGAGAGAGAGAGAGAGAGAGAGAGAGAGAGAUAGAGAGAGAGAGAGAGAGAGAGAGAGAGAGAGAGAGAGAGAGAGACUACCUAAAAUCUUGCAUUGUAACAUGUAACAGUGUGCCUUGAAAUAUGACUCAUGUGAGAACAGUACAACAUAACACAGUAGGUUCUUGCACUAUAAGUCUGGCACCAUGUUUUUAUUUGAAAUUAUUAAAACUGAGUUGGAAUUGUUUUUAA